GACGAACGCUGGCGGCGUGCUUAACACAUGCAAGUCGAACGGAAAGGCCAGUGCUUGCACUGGUACUCGAGUGGCGAACGGGUGAGUAACACGUGGGUGAUCUGCCUUGCACUCUGGGAUAAGCUUGGGAAACUGGGUCUAAUACCGGAUAUGAACUGCCUUUAGUGUGGUGGUUGGAAAGUUUUUUCGGUGCAAGAUGAGCUCGCGGCCUAUCAGCUUGUUGGUGGGGUAAUGGCCUACCAAGGCGUCGACGGGUAGCCGGCCUGAGAGGGUGUACGGCCACAUUGGGACUGAGCUACGGCCCAGACUCCUACGGGAGGCAGCAGUGGGGAAUGUUGCACAAUGGGAGGAAGCCUGAUGCAGCGACGCCGCGUGGGGGAUGACGGCCUUCGGGUUGUAAACUCCUUUCGACAGGGACGAAGCGUAAGUGACGGUACCUGUAGAAGAAGCACCGGCUAACUACGUG
This 466-nucleotide ribosomal RNA is filed under the name uncultured bacterium. RNAcentral's name for it is "partial 16S ribosomal RNA". It matches the Rfam family "Bacterial small subunit ribosomal RNA", at positions 28 to 507 of the family's 1533-position model. The record is from RNAcentral.